Molecule: ribosomal RNA, 459 nt
Filed under: uncultured bacterium
Lineage: Bacteria
Description: partial 16S ribosomal RNA
Rfam family: Bacterial small subunit ribosomal RNA
Source: RNAcentral
CCUACGGGAGGCAGCAGUGAGGAAUAUUGGUCAAUGGACGCAAGUCUGAACCAGCCAUGCCGCGUGCAGGAAGAAGGCUCUAUGAGUUGUAAACUGCUUUUGUACGAGGGUAAACGCAGAUACGCGUAUCUGCCUGAAAGUACCGUACGAAUAAGGAUCGGCUAACUCCGUGCCAGCAGCCGCGGUAAUACGGGGGAUUCAAGCGUUAUCCGGAUUUAUUGGGUUUAAAGGGUGCGCAGGCGGAUUUUUAAGUCAGCGGUCAAAUCGUGGGGCUCAACCCCAUCCAGCCGUUGAAACUGGGGGUCUAGAGUGUGGGAGAGGGAUGCGGAAUGCGUGGUGUAGCGGUGAAAUGCGUAGAUAUCACGCAGAACCCCGAUGGCGAAGGCAGCAUACCGGUGCACAACUGACGCUCAGGCACGAAAGCGUGGGUAUCGAACAGGAUUAGAUACCCCUGUAGUC